AACCGGGGAGGGUCAUUGGAAACUGGGAAACUUGAGUGCAGAAGAGGAGAGUGGAAUUCCACGUGUAGCGGUGAAAUGCGUAGAGAUGUNGGAGGAACACCAGNUGGCGAAGGCGACUCUCUGGUCUGUAACUGACGCUGAGGAGCGAAAGCGUGGGGAGCGAACAGGAUUAGAUACCCUGGUAGUCCACGCCGUAAACGAUGAGUGCUAAGUGUUAGGGGGUUUCCGCCCCUUAGUGCUGCAGCUAACGCAUUAAGCACUCCGCCUGGGGAGUACGGUCGCAAGACUGAAACUCAAAGGAAUUGACGGGGGCCCGCACAAGCGGUGGAGCAUGUGGUUUAAUUCGAAGCAACGCGAAGAACCUUACCAGGUCUUGACAUCCUCUGACAACCCUAGAGAUAGGGCUUUCCCUUCGGGGACAGAGUGACAGGUGGUGCAUGGUUGUCGUCAGCUCGUGUCGUGAGAUGUUGGGUUAAGUCCCGCAACGAGCGCAACCCUUGAUCUUAGUUGCCAGCAUUCAGUUGGGCACUCUAAGGUGACUGCCGGUGACAAANCCGGANGGAAGGUGGGGNAUGACGUCAAAUCAUCAUGCCCCNUUAUGACCUGGGNCUACACACNGUGCUACAANUGGANCAGAACNAAAGGGCUNGCAAGANCCGCAAGGNUUUAGCCNAAUCCCANUAAANUCUGNUUCUCAGNUUCGGANUCGNCANGUCUNGCAACUCGACUGCGUGAA
Molecule: ribosomal RNA, 736 nt
Filed under: uncultured Bacillus sp.
Lineage: Bacteria; Bacillati; Bacillota; Bacilli; Caryophanales; Bacillaceae
Description: partial 16S ribosomal RNA
Rfam family: Bacterial small subunit ribosomal RNA
Source: RNAcentral